This 641-nucleotide ribosomal RNA is filed under the name uncultured Moraxella sp. RNAcentral's name for it is "bacterial SSU rRNA". It matches the Rfam family "Bacterial small subunit ribosomal RNA", at positions 210 to 843 of the family's 1533-position model. Lineage: Bacteria; Pseudomonadati; Pseudomonadota; Gammaproteobacteria; Moraxellales; Moraxellaceae. The record is from RNAcentral.
AGCUCUCGCUAUUAGAUGAGCCUAAGUCGGAUUAGCUGGUUGGUGGGGUAAAGGCCUACCAAGGCGACGAUCUGUAGCUGGUCUGAGAGGAUGAUCAGCCACACUGGGACUGAGACACGGCCCAGACUCCUACGGGAGGCAGCAGUGGGGAAUAUUGGACAAUGGGCGAAAGCCUGAUCCAGCCAUGCCGCGUGUGUGAAGAAGGCCUUUUGGUUGUAAAGCACUUUAAGUGGGGAGGAAAAGCUUAUGGUUAAUACCCAUAAGCCCUGACGUUACCCACAGAAUAAGCACCGGCUAACUCUGUGCCAGCAGCCGCGGUAAUACAGAGGGUGCAAGCGUUAAUCGGAAUUACUGGGCGUAAAGCGCGCGUAGGUGGUUAUUUAAGUCAGAUGUGAAAGCCCCGGGCUUAACCUGGGAACUGCAUCUGAUACUGGAUAACUAGAGUAGGUGAGAGGGGAGUAGAAUUCCAGGUGUAGCGGUGAAAUGCGUAGAGAUCUGGAGGAAUACCGAUGGCGAAGGCAGCUCCCUGGCAUCAUACUGACACUGAGGUGCGAAAGCGUGGGUAGCAAACAGGAUUAGAUACCCUGGUAGUCCACGCCGUAAACGAUGUCUACCAGUCGUUGGGUCUUUUAAAGACUUAG